Molecule: ribosomal RNA, 755 nt
Filed under: uncultured marine group III euryarchaeote
Lineage: Archaea; Methanobacteriati; Thermoplasmatota; Thermoplasmata; Candidatus Thermoprofundales
Description: bacterial SSU rRNA
Rfam family: Archaeal small subunit ribosomal RNA
Source: RNAcentral
UUCCGGUUGAUCCUGCCGAAGGCUACUGCUAUUGGAGUUCGAUUAAGCCAUGCGAGUCUAAGGGAUCUUCGGAUCCCUGGCGUAAUGCUCAGUAACACGUGGAUAAUCUACCCUCAGGUGGGGCAUAAACCCGGGAAACUGGGGCCAAUUCCCCAUAAAUACAGAUGGCUGGAAUGCUUCUGUAUUCAAAGCUCCGGCGCCUGAGGAUGAGUCUGCGGCCUAUCAGGUUGUAGUCAGGGUCAAGACCUGACUAGCCAGCGACGGGUAUGGGGUGUGAGAGCACUUGCCCAGAGAUGGUUUCUGAGACACGAAACCAGGCCCUACGGGGCGCAGCAGGCGCGAAAACUUCGCAAUGCGGGAAACCGUGACGAGGGAACUCCGAGUGUCUAUGCAUUGCAUAGACUGUUUUUUAGCCUAAAUAGCUAUUAGAGUAAGGGGUGGGCAAGACCGGUGCCAGCCGCCGCGGUAACACCGGCACCCCGAGUGGUAGCCACUAUUAUUGGGCCUAAAGCGUUCGUAGCCGGUUUGGUAAAUUCUUGGGUAAAUCGUACCGCUCAACGGUGCGGAUUCCGGGGACACUACCAGACUUGAGACCGGGGGAGAUCAGAGGUACUUGCGGGGGAGCGGUGAAAUGUUGUAAUCCCGCAGGGACCACCAGUGGCGAAGGCGUCUGAUCAGAACGGCUCUGACGGUGAGGAACGAAACCCUGGGGCGCAAACGGGAUUAGAUACCCCGGUAGUCCAGGGCGUAAACGC